Molecule: ribosomal RNA, 192 nt
Filed under: uncultured Pseudomonadales bacterium
Lineage: Bacteria; Pseudomonadati; Pseudomonadota; Gammaproteobacteria; Pseudomonadales
Description: partial 16S ribosomal RNA
Rfam family: Bacterial small subunit ribosomal RNA
Source: RNAcentral
GGGACAACGUUCCGAAAGGGGCGCUAAUACCGCAUACGUCCUACGGGAGAAAGCAGGGGACCUUCGGGCCUUGCGCUAAUAGAUGAGCCUAAGUCGGAUUAGCUAGUUGGUAGGGUAAAGGCCUACCAAGGCGACGAUCUGUAGCGGGUCUGAGAGGAUGAUCCGCCACACUGGGACUGAGACACGGCCCAG